This 110-nucleotide ribosomal RNA is filed under the name Sinocyclocheilus rhinocerous. Lineage: Eukaryota; Metazoa; Chordata; Actinopteri; Cypriniformes; Cyprinidae. The record is from RNAcentral.
GCUUACGGCCGUACCACCCUGUCUGUGCCUGAUCUUGGAAGCUAAGCAGGGUCGGGCCUGGUUAAUACUUGGAUGGGAGACCGCCUGGGAUUACCCUAGUGCUGUAAGCU